This 426-nucleotide long non-coding RNA is filed under the name Malus domestica (apple). RNAcentral's name for it is "long non-coding RNA (MDOM_LNC020195)". The record is from RNAcentral. Lineage: Eukaryota; Viridiplantae; Streptophyta; Magnoliopsida; Rosales; Rosaceae.
AUCCAAGGGAUUAGCAAAGUUGCUAAUCCCCGGCAACGGCGCCAAAAUUUUGAUGCGAAAUAGAUAAGCACACAAAUUAAACCCUCUUUUUGUCAAAUUGUAGUAAAGAUGUAAGUAGGGAUCGUUCUAGACCGGGGAUUAGGAGGGAUUGCUAAACACUUGAAAACUGACUUAAAAACAUAAAAACAAAGUUUAAAACACUAAACUAGACUCAAAGAAUGCAAAACUAAAGUUUAAAACACUUGAACAAACACAAAACUCAAAACAGCAACCUAAUGACUCAAAACUGCCUAAAACCACUUUCUGGGCAGUUUUGAGAACCUAACAAGAACUUGGACGAAAUUGGGUGAAGACUUGAAUCAAAACAUUUAGAAACACAAAUCAAAACAUAUUCUAACUAAUCUAAGACUUCAAAACAAAGGGGGA